GACGAACGCUGGCGGCGUGCUUAACACAUGCAAGUCGAACGGAAAGGCCUUUUCGGCGGUACUCGAGUGGCGCACGGGUGAGUAACACGUGGGUGAUCUGCCCUGCACUCUGGGAUAAGCCUGGGAAACUGGGUCUAAUACCGGAUAGGACCGCACUUUAGUGUGCGUGGUGGAAAGUUUUUUCGGUGUAGGAUGAGCCCGCGGCCUAUCAGCUUGUUGGUGGGGUAAUGGCCUACCAAGGCGGCGACGGGUAGCCGGACUGAGAGGUUGGUCGGCCACAUUGGGACUGAGAUACGGCCCAGACUCCUACGGGAGGCAGCAGUGGGGAAUAUUGCACAAUGGGCGCAAGCCGGAUGCAGCGACGCCGCGUGGGGGAGGACGGCCUUCGGGUUGUAAACUCCUUUCGCCAGGGACGAAGCGUUUUGUGACGGUACCUGGAGAAGAAGCACCGGCUAACUCUGUG
Molecule: ribosomal RNA, 463 nt
Filed under: uncultured bacterium
Lineage: Bacteria
Description: partial 16S ribosomal RNA
Rfam family: Bacterial small subunit ribosomal RNA
Source: RNAcentral